CUCAGAUUGGACAGAUAGUCCAGCUAGCUGUCUGGAUUUACCCUGCAGAGAUCUGAGGAUCUGAGGAGCUGAACCAGAGUCCUCAUAAAUCUGAACAAUCCCGGAAAUGAACGUUGUUGAUAUAGACUAUUUAUAGGCAAAAUUAAAAAUCAAUAACUAUUCGUAGCUUCAGGUCUCACCAGUUCUACUCGUCCAAAGCCGCCGACCCCGAGAGUAGCGACGGGCUCCAGGUGGUCGAAGGGCCUGGACGGAGGAAACACGGCCACCCGGUCCUUCAGCUGGAUGACGUCUGGCGAAAGCGGCUGGCUCUGGUGGCGCGAUACGGACCUCCUGGAUGAGGACAGCCGAGGGGCUUCAUUUUAACCAACCAAAGGCUUUCUCUCCAAAGUAGUCUCCCUUCUGCAGCGUGUUGAUGAUCUGCGGCAGCUUGUGGGCCUCGGUGGUCUGGGUCACCUUCACCUGCACAACGCAGUCAGAGCACAUUUCACUUCUUCACGCCCGUCUCCAGUUCACCGCUGUAGCUAUUACAGAGCUAUCUUUUGCCAUAAUAGCUGUCCAGUUCAAAUUCCAAUCAGAUCAGACUGGAGACCUGACAGAGAAUCCUAAAGAACAAGAAUGAGCCACUAGUGCAGCAACUAGGACCAGAACCCCUCAAUGGCUUAAUGGGACAUGAGACCUUUGUUACAUGAUGUUUGAUCAUGUCUGCCACAACCCAGAUUUGUUCCCUGCAGCCGUAAGUCUGUCCAUCAUCAACCAUCACGGACACACUGAACGACUGCUCAUCUGAAGAGUCGUUUCAGCCUGAUGCAUACAAAUAUUUCCUGUAUGUGUAAAUAAAUCUUU
Perca flavescens (yellow perch) is the source of this 843-nucleotide long non-coding RNA. RefSeq lists it as uncharacterized. The transcript has 4 exons. Lineage: Eukaryota; Metazoa; Chordata; Actinopteri; Perciformes; Percidae. The record is from RefSeq and is a predicted model, not a curated record.